GAUAUGGCGCAGCUACACAUGCAAGUCGAGCGGUAGAGAGAAGCUUGCUUCCUCCUUGAGAGCGGCGGACGGGUGAGUAAUGCCUAGGAAUCUGCCUGGUAGUGGGGGAUAACGUCCGGAAACGGACGCUAAUACCGCAUACGUCCUACGGGAGAAAGCAGGGGACCUUCGGGCCUUGCGCUAUCAGAUGAGCCUAGGUCGGAUUAGCUAGUUGGUGGGGUAAUGGCUCACCAAGGCGACGAUCCGUAACUGGUCUGAGAGGAUGAUCAGUCACACUGGAACUGAGACACGGUCCAGACUCCUACGGGAGGCAGCAGUGGGGAAUAUUGGACAAUGGGCGAAAGCCUGAUCCAGCCAUGCCGCGUGUGUGAAGAAGGUCUUCGGAUUGUAAAGCACUUUAAGUUGGGAGGAAGGGCAGUAAAUUAAUACUUUGCUGUUUUGACGUUACCGACAGAAUAAGCACCGGCUAACUCUGUGCCAGCAGCCGCGGUAAUACAGAGGGUGCAAGCGUUAAUCGGAAUUACUGGGCGUAAAGCGCGCGUAGGUGGUUCGUUAAGUUGGAUGUGAAAUCCCCGGGCUCAACCUGGGAACUGCAUUCAAAACUGACGAGCUAGAGUAUGGUAGAGGGUGGUGGAAUUUCCUGUGUAGCGGUGAAAUGCGUAGAUAUAGGAAGGAACACCAGUGGCGAAAGCGACCAUCUGGACUGAUACUGACACUGAGUGCGAAAGCGUGGGGAGCAAACAGAUUAGAUACCCUGGUAGUCCACGCGUAACGAUGUCAACUAGCCGUUGGGAGCCUUGAGCUCUUAGUGGCGCAGCUACGCAUUAGUUGACCGCCUGGGGAGUACGCCGCAAGUUAAAACUCAAUGAAUUGACGGGGCCGCACAAGCGUGGAGCAUGUGGUUUAUUCGAGCACGCGAGACUUACAGCUGACAUCCAUGACCUUUCUAGAGAUAGAUGUGCUUCGACAUGAAACAGGUGCUGCAUGCUGUCUCAGCUCAUUCUUGGAAUGUAGGUAGUUCGUACGAGCGCACAUUGUCUUAGUACAGCACGUAAUGGUGGCACUCUCGAGGAACUGCAGUACAAUCCGAGACAUCGUGGAUUGACUUCAAGUCUAUGCUUCAGCUGGCUAACAGUCUUAAAG
Molecule: ribosomal RNA, 1143 nt
Filed under: bacterium
Lineage: Bacteria
Description: bacterial SSU rRNA
Rfam family: Bacterial small subunit ribosomal RNA
Source: RNAcentral